CCUACGGGGGGCAGCAGUGGGGAAUAUUGCACAAUGGGGGAAACCCUGAUGCAGCAACGCCGCGUGAGUGAAGAAGUAUUUCGGUAUGUAAAGCUCUAUCAGCAGGGAAGAAGAUGACGGUACCUGACUAAGAAGCCCCGGCUAACUACGUGCCAGCAGCCGCGGUAAUACGUAGGGGGCAAGCGUUAUCCGGAUUUACUGGGUGUAAAGGGAGCGUAGACGGCAGCGCAAGUCUGGAGUGAAAGCCCGGGGCUCAACCCCGGAACUGCUUUGGAAACUGUGCAGCUAGAGUGCAGGAGGGGUAAGUGGAAUUCCUAGUGUAGCGGUGAAAUGCGUAGAUAUUAGGAGGAACACCAGUGGCGAAGGCGGCCUACUGGACUGUAACUGACGUUGAGGCUCGAAAGCGUGGGGAGCAAACAGGAUUAGAUACCCUAGUAGUC
RNAcentral lists this ribosomal RNA (440 nucleotides) under uncultured bacterium. RNAcentral describes it as "partial 16S ribosomal RNA". It matches the Rfam family "Bacterial small subunit ribosomal RNA", at positions 338 to 795 of the family's 1533-position model. The record is from RNAcentral.